Bos taurus (domestic cattle) is the source of this 5454-nucleotide long non-coding RNA. Lineage: Eukaryota; Metazoa; Chordata; Mammalia; Artiodactyla; Bovidae. The record is from Ensembl.
GCACAAGGUCGCUUACUGGAAGUCAGCUGCUAACGCAAGCUCAACCCCCUGGUAGCCAGCCACGCACUUUCCCAAACCACCCUCCCCCUUGUAGGGCAAAAGUCAGCCAAGACGUUCCUCUAAAGCGAUGCACGUUAUCAAACGUGGUUUUGACCCAGUGUGUUCUUCACCCCGUUCCCGGCUCCAGAACCUUCAGAACGUCUACACUGCCCCCUGGUGGCUGAAUGUUGUUAUUGAUUUUGAAUCUGAGAAUGCUUCUUAGGAGUCUCAAUGGUGGCUUGCACAGAGAAGAAAGAUCUGGGUAUUAAGGGGAUCUUCUGGAUCCAGGGAUUAAACCCAAUCUCUUACAUCUCCUGUACUGGCAAGCGGACUUUUUACCACUGCACCAUCUGGGAAGCCAGUAUGUAUGUACAUAACAGUUAUAUGUGUAUAUAACUGGAUCAUUUAGCUGUACAUCUAAUGCACAAUAUUGUAAAUUAUUAUAUUUGUAAUUUUAUCAGUUAUAAAAAUGAUUAUAAAUACCUUCCAUGAUGCUGGCUAACUCUUAUAAAUAAUUCUCCAUGUAAAUAAUUUUUAAAGAAGCAGUCUCAGUGGUUGCUAAUCAAUGAAAUAAGAGUUGUUACAGAGAACAAGGAAUAAGACUAUGAGGAAAAUAGAACAGAAUGAUUUUAUAGACUGGGAGCAUAGGUGGCGCAGUGGAAAAGAAUCUGCCUGCCAGUGCAGGAGACUCAGGAGACACGGGUUCCAUCCCUGGGUCAGGAAGAUCCCCUGGCGUAAGAAAUGGCAACCCACUCCAGUAUUCUUGCCUGGAAAAAUCCCAUGGACGAAAGAUCCUGGCAGGCUAAAGUCCAUGGGAUCACAAAAGAGUCGGAUACAACUAAAUACACACAGCCCAGCACUGUAAGGAGGGAACACUUAUCCUGUGACCCAAAUUUUCAUGUACAAAACCAUCCAGACACAGUGGAGUCAUCCGUGGAGGGAACGGUUCUGAUAACCCCUUCAGUCCCUUAUUGGCACUCUGUUAUAAUGUCUACCAUGGGGCUGUCAUAUGUAAUACUUUUUUAUCUUGCCUACAAAGUUACCAUGGAUGAUUCACUUGUGCCUCAACUAAGGCUACAUCCCUCACUGGCACACUGGACCCUGUUUACCUCCUCAAGGGCAUCUCUUCUGCAAUCCUACCCUCCACCUACUGCAUCAUCAGGUUUUCCACUAGUUCUGGCUCUUUCCCAGCAGCAUAGGAACACACUAUUAUCAGUUCAGUACAGUUCAGUUCAGUCACUCAGUCACAGGACAGUCACUCACUCUUCGAGACCCUGUGGACUGCAACACACCAGGCUUCCCUGUCUAUCACCAACUCCCGGAGCUUGCUCAAACUCAUGUCCAUCCAGUCGGUGAUGCUGUCCAACCAUCUCAUCCUCUGUCGUCACCUUCUCCUCCUGCCUUCAAUCUUUCCCAGCAUCAGGGUCUCUUCCAAGGAGUCAGUUCUUCCCAUCAGGUGGCCAAAGUAUUGGACCUUUAGCUUCAGCAAUGAAUAUUCAGGACUGAUUUCCUUUAGGAUGGACUGGUUGGAUCUCCUUGCAGUCCAAGGGACUCUCACUAUUAUCUCUUCCUAACAUCACCGUUUCCUGUCCCGUUAGCCCCUCCACCCACUGCUGCAUUUCUGUCUUUGCCUUUACAGCAAAAUGCUCCAGAGAGGUCUCUGUACACUCUCUCCACUUCCCCUUCUCCCUUCUCUCUUGAACCAGUGUAGCAGGGCUCUUAGUCCCACCACUCACCAACAUGGCUCAUUGUUGGGGUCAUGAGCCAACUUUUAUGUUGCUGAAUCCAAUGGUCAACCUUCAUCCUUAAUCUAACUGAAACUUCUGGCACAACCUGCCACUCCCUCCUUAUUACACUUGCUCUUGGCUUCAGAGACUUGACUCUCUCCUGGACUUCCUCCAGGACUGCUUUCUCCCUAUCUCUUGCUGGUUUCUCCACAUCUCCCUGGCCUCUAAGUGAGGACAUGGCCCAGGGUUCGAUUCUUGGAUUUCAUUCCUUUCCUAACUAUUCCUCAGAGAUCUCACCCAGCCUCACAGCUUUCGAUACCAUCUCUGAGAGGAUGAUUCUCAAACACAUCACCUAGCCAAAUGUCUCACCUGAGCUUAUUUGAAUAUAUGUGGGUAUGUAUGUAUGCAUGUGUGUGUGUAGUCACUCAGUCAUGUCUGACUCUGUGAGACCCCAUGGACUGUAGCCCACCAAGCUCCUCUGUCUGAGCUCCAGGAGGAGAUGUUAAACAGGCAGAGGCUUCCCCGAUGGCUCAAGUGGUAAAGAAUCUGGAAGUCCCCACAAAAAUGCCUCUUUGUCAUUAAAAUUAUUUUGAGCUGAAGGCAAUUAAGAAAGAGCAAACACAGGAAAAGCUCUCUCUACCCUCUGCUUUUCUGCCUAAACGCAUGCGUGCUAAGUUGUUCAGUCACAUCCAACUCUGUUCGACCUUAUGGACUGUAACCUGCCAGGCCCCUCUAUCAGUGGACUUCUCCAGGCAAGGAUACUGGAGUUGGUUGUCAUUUCCUCCUCCAGGGGAUCUUCCCGAUCCAAGGUUCGAACCUGUGUCUCUUGGGUCUCUUGCAUUGGCAGGCAGAUUCUUUACCACUAGUGCCAGCUGGGAAAUCCCUUUCUGCCUAAAGAUAGAAUAUAAAUUAUCCCUGGGCUGGCCACAGACUGUUAGCAGCCCCAGUGGAAUCUGCAAGCAAGCUUUACGCCGUCAGCUUCCUCCCAUGUAUUUAUUUACCUUAUUGCCGUUUGUCACCCUAGGAAACCUAAACCUGCUUUCCCCUGUCCUCUCAUUUCUCUGCAGGUUUUUGAUCUUUGUUGAAGAUGCUAAUAAGCCAGGGUUGUAAGCCUCCACUUUGAGUUACUUUUUCUGGCGGUUUCUCCCACAUCCUACUCGAGUUAAUAAACCAGUUUUCUCUUGUUAAUCUGUCUUUUUAUUAGAUUCCCCCAUUGCAAGCUUAAGAUGAGUAGAGCUAAGAUUUUGUGUCCCCUCUGAGGACCAGGAGCAGGUCAUUUCUUUGAGAAGUGGACUAGGACACACACAUGAUGGAGGGACUGCAGAGGGGAGGGAAAGACAGAACAAACGGCCUGUUUUUGAAGUAGGGACAUCAGUGGCUCUGUCUCUGACAGAACUCCCUGAGGAACUAUGGCCCACGCCGCUGAACCAGCUCAUGAAGGGAGGAGGUGGCAGCUCCACGGGCUGACUCCUGUUCUCCACUCACUGAUUGCUCCCAGGGACAAUAACAGCUCGGAAUUUCCAAGGUUUGCUGCCUGCAGCCCAGCCAGCUCCCACAGUGUCGCAGAAAUCCCUCAGCUAGACAAGGGAGAGGCCAGGCACUUGGGGAGGAAGCUGUGAGAUGCUGGACCGUCUUCCUCAGCCUCCAUCAGGGAGGAAGAGGGACUCACAGGUCGGCUGUGAGCCCACACCAGCCUCUGAUGGUUGAAGACCAUGACAUCAAACAUCUGAAAACUUGACUUAAAUGCUAUUCCUGGCCCUUUCCUUUCAAAUAUUCCUCUUGCCCCAUAUUUUCUUCUCUUUCUGUUUCUGUCCUCUAGGUCUUUUAUUCUGGCCUUCGUCCCUGGGUCUGACACUUGCUUUGGCACUAAGGCCCCACGGUAGAGACCAAUGUGACCAGCAGACCAGUGAAGGGGGAGCUGGUGAGGUGGUCUCAGAGAGGAGGCAGAUAGACAGAUGGCGGAGGGCCUGGGAGGCUGUUUUAGGACUUUGCUUGAAUGUGAAAUUGAUGGACUGUGUUGGAUGAUUUUAAGUUGAAAUUUUCAUGUUCUGUAUCAUAUUCACAGGAAGUAAAUUUUCCUUUCACCUUCAGAAUCUCUUCUGUCUCUCCCUCUUACAUUUCUCAUUUCUUCUUUCUCUCAAUUUCUUUCCGUCUCUCCCUUCCCAGGGUAGUUCACUCCAUCCCAGCUCCUCCCCGCCUCCCUUCAACCUCAGCCUCUCUGCUCAUUGAACUUUCUUCUGCUAAGUGCCCUGUAAGCCCUCUGGCUUCUCCCUUGGUCUGGAUCCCUCCCAGUCAUCACUGCUCUUCUCUGCUAGUAUUUACCAUUCAGAGGCUUUGAGCCAUGCUGCUUGCCAGCUUAUGCAACAGUGAGCCUUCUGAAAUAUGACUCUGUCUCUGACAUUUUGGAUCAAAGCUAUCCUACCAGAAAAAAAAAAAAAAUCCAGAUAUAAAUUCCUGAUGUCAAAUGCAUUCAGCAUCUUAGGCAGUUUGCGAGUUCGGGUCACGUUGUUGGUGUGACCCUGGGAUCACAACACAGGGGAAAGGCAUCAGCAUCUGUGAGGAGUCCAGGGGGCCAUGAGUUGUCUGAUGACAUCACACCCAGCCUAUCCCAGGCCCUGCACCAAGAAGAAGCCUGCUUCUUGCAGAAAUUGCUCUAGGCAGAGGAAGGACCAGAGACUACAGUCUUUGAUCCCUCCAAGUUGGGAAAAUUGCACACUGAAAUUAAGAAGCAUUUUUCCAUCUCCCAGGAAGUAAGAUCAUGCUCAGUCACUACAGUCAUGUCUGACUCUUUGCGACCUCAUGGACUGUAGCCCACCAGCCUCCUCUGUCCAUGGGAUUCUCCGGGCAAGAAUACUGGAGUGGGUUGCCAUGCCCCUCUCCAGGGGAUCUUCCAGACCCAGAGAUUGAACACACGUCUCCUGUGUCUCCUACAUUACAGGCAGAUUCUUUACCCACUGAGCCACCUGGGAAGCCUGUAAGUAAGAUCUGAACAUACUUCCGGACCAUGCUUGUCCUCUGGUCCGGGGAAACCUACUUUCAAGGUCACUGAGGUAGGCAGAAUUUUGGCCCCUAUAACUUUCACACUCUGGUGUCACAACCUCAAUUAUUUUGCCUUACAUGACAAAAGGGAAUUUGUAGAUGUACUCAAGGCUAUUAAUCAACUGCUCUUAAAAUAGUGAGAUAAGCUGGAUUGUCCAGGUGGACCCAAUGUGACCACAUUAGCCCUUGAAAACAAAAGAAGAAGUCAGAGAUAUUUAGAAUUUAAGAAGGACUCAACACAUCAACACCACUCAACAUCAGCGUUGGCUUUGAGGACAGAAGAAGGGCCACAAGUCAAGGGAUGCAGGCAGCUUCUGGAAGUUGAGAAGCUCCUCCAGCUGAUGACCAAUGAGGACAUGGGGACCUCAGUCUUGCAACCACAAGGAAGUGCAUUCUGUCCACAACCUGAAUGAACCUGGAAGCAGAUUCUUCCCAGAGCCUCCCAGUAGGAACACAGCUGGCCAAUACCCUAAUUUCAGUCUUAAGAGACCCUCAGAAGAGGUCCCUAGCUGAGAUUUCUGACCAACAGAACUUUGAGAUAAAAACAUUCAUUGUUUUAAGCCACUCGAUGUGUGGCGGUUUGUUGCAGCAGCACUGGGAGACUAACAGGUCCCCUCUGAUUAGACCACUGUAAGCUGGAGCUAUCUGC